UGGGGAAUAUUGCGCAAUGGGCGAAAGCCUGACGCAGCGACGCCGCGUGAGGGAUGAAGGUUUUCGGAUCGUAAACCUCUGUCAGAAGGGAAGAAACCGCACUGUGCUAAUCAGCAGUGCCUUGACGGUACCUUCAAAGGAAGCACCGGCUAACUCCGUGCCAGCAGCCGCGGUAAUACGGAGGGUGCAAGCGUUAAUCGGAAUUACUGGGCGUAAAGCGCACGUAGGCUGCUUUGUAAGUCAGGGGUGAAAUCCCACGGCUCAACCGUGGAACUGCCUUUGGUACUGCUUAGCUUGAAUCCGGGAGAGGGUGGCGGAAUUCCAGGUGUAGGAGUGAAAUCCGUAGAUAUCUGGAGGAACAUCAGUGGCGAAGGCGGCCACCUGGACCGGUAUUGACGCUGAGGUGCGAAAGCGUGGGGAGCAAACAGG
This 429-nucleotide ribosomal RNA is filed under the name Fusobacteriota bacterium. RNAcentral's name for it is "Fusobacteria bacterium partial 16S ribosomal RNA". It matches the Rfam family "Bacterial small subunit ribosomal RNA", at positions 355 to 776 of the family's 1533-position model. The record is from RNAcentral. Lineage: Bacteria; Fusobacteriati; Fusobacteriota.